CUUACUCAAGAGUUGUAUAUAUUGUGGUCUAAACACUAUAGCAGAAUCCCUGUUAAACUGUCAUGCCAGCCAGCCCCUCUCUUUGUAUUAUUAUUAUAUUUGUCCAGGGACAUCCAUGUUUCCUAAAUGAUGAAAUGAGCCUCUUUUACUUCUGGAACUGCAGUCUUUGCUUGUGUAAUGCAAUUGGGAAUCCUGGCUGUGAAAUGUGUGCUACAUCAGAAAGCAUGCUGGGAGAACACUCAGAAAAGCCAGUGGCUAUGGAGCUUGAAUAGAGCAAUGCAGAAGCUGCUCUGUGGUUUCCUCCAGCUGAACAACCUUUUGGGUUCUUUGCAAUCUGCCCCCCAGCUGCCUCAAUUAGAGUCCCGUUCUUAUGGGCCGUCCCGCUCCAAGGACAGAGCUGCCUCUCUUUCUCGCCGUCUUUCUCUAACCAGCAGAUGGUUAAUGAUUCAUGGACAGGGUUGGUAGCUGUGUGCACGUGUUUGGGUGAGUGUAGCGUUUCUGAGGACGUUCCAAGGUGUGUUUUUGUGCAUGUACGUGCGAAAACUCUGAAUGGGGGAUGGGAGGUUGAGGUCACUUGAGCUCAAAAACAUGUUUUUGUGUUUCUCAUCUCUAAAUGCUGACAUUGCUGGAAUCGUUUGACACGUAUUCUCAAUGGAUCCAAAAUAACUUUCUUUCCCAUUAGUCAUGCAUUCAGACACAACUCCAUCUAUUCAGGUGCUAAAUUUACUGUGUCAUACAAUUUUUAUUUUUUGUUGUUGCACACAUUUACAGUAAUCUUCUCUUUUUGAUGUUUAUAUAUAUUGUCAAUUGAUUUAAAAGUUAAGUGUGGAAAGCCAGUUUUUGCUUACUUCCUGUUGCCCACAAUAAGAGGAAGUGUCUUUGUCAUGGGGGCUCUGAUGCUGUACUUCAGCAAAGUGGCGACUGUCCUUGAUUAUUUGUGUAGAUCGGUGUGUGUGUGUGUGUGUGCACACCUCCUCCCAUCCUCUCUAGACUCGUCCUCUUAAAAACAGAAAUAUAAUAACCCCUAAGAGAGAAAAAGAGAAGUGCCCACAUUGUGUACAGCCAGCUUUCCUUGUGGAUUUGGAAAGAAAGAGAAGAUGGGGAGAGACAAUAGAGAGUAGUCAAACUGAGUGACACACCUCUGGAGCAGAAAGAGAGAUUGAAUCAAAUGGCUCAUUUACAUGAAAGGCUUGUGGACAAUACAGCUUCUGCGUGCGUAUGAAAAUCACACUCUGACUCUCAGAGGAGUCAGGCUGUGUUAUGGAAAAGAAAGGCAUUGUUCAACAGCCCAUUAACUACUUUGCAUCUGCCUAUAUUUUUGCUAAACUCAAAAAAUAUAACUAUACGUACAAAUCUCUGGUGUUUCCAGUUGAAAUGAACCCUAAAGGCAGUAAAACUCCUUUUCACAGAAAUUAUAAUUCACAGUCCAGAGUUUCAAUUAUGAAAGACAAAUUCUUCCCUCUAUUGCUAGCACAACAUUCUGUUUUGAUUUCAAAACGAUUUUAACAUGCAGCGAGAUUUGAAAGCUAAUACUUUUAAAUGUUAGCUCCACAUAUACGGCUUCACAUUUAUGGCUUUUCGGAUGUAGAACUGUCUGGAACACACUACUGUCAGCCCCAUAAUGAAUGUAAUUUAGGCUCACUCAGUGUUCUCAGUUGGCUUUUAAAGUCGUGUAGUGUGUGGUGUCUAAUGAAUUUAAGACCAGCUGUUGUCACAAAGAUGAUUUUUAUAAUAUUUACAUCUGAUGCCGACAACUAACUGCACCUAUUUCUGAAUAUAUAUAUAUAUAUAUAUAUACAGGGCCGGCGCAAGCUCAAAUGCCGCUCCAGGCAGAGCACGAUCGUGCCGCCCCAACCUCACACUCACAAUUCGGUAUCCUUAAGAUGCAUGUAAACAAAUUAUUAUUAUUUUUUUUUAUCUAUAAAAUUACACUAAAAUAAAAACGUGUUUUUUCUUCACACUGCAACAUGAAAAAAGUACACAAUGCAACAGCUGCAUAUAAUUAGUGUUUUAUAAUAGACAGUGUACACAAUAAAACUAAACAUAUCACAACUUUUUAGCUCAUAAGUACUGGAGGUUUUGAUUUUUUCUUGACUGAGACUUCAUCUACAGCGAUAUUGUUGACUUGAUUGCAAAUUAAAACAGACACUAUUUCAACUGAACAGAGAUGACAUCAAUAAAUUCAAUGAUGAACUGCCUUUAACUAUCAUUUUGCAUUAUUGAGACACUGUUUUCCAAAUGAAUGUUGUUCAGUGCUUUGGCGCAAUGUAUUUUGUUUAAAGCACUAUAUAAAUAAAGGUGAUUGAUUGAUUGAUUGACUGAUACACACAAACAGACAUUUACACAACUAGCCCACAUUUUAGAAGCGUGCGUGUCGGGCUUUCGCAUCGGCAAAGGCUUUGAUUGUG
Molecule: long non-coding RNA, 2408 nt
Filed under: Carassius auratus (goldfish)
Lineage: Eukaryota; Metazoa; Chordata; Actinopteri; Cypriniformes; Cyprinidae
Description: lncRNA (ENSCARG00000019749.1)
Source: RNAcentral